UACGUAGGGGGCUAGCGUUGUCCGGAAUCAUUGGGCGUAAAGCGCGUGUAGGCGGUCCGGUAAGUCCGCUGUGAAAGUCGGGGGCUCAACCCUCGAAUGCCGGUGGAUACUGUCGGGCUAGAGUGCGGAAGAGGCGAGUGGAAUUCCUGGUGUAGCGGUGAAAUGCGCAGAUAUCAGGAGGAACACCAAUUGCGAAGGCAGCUCGCUGGGACGUUACUGACGCUGAGACGCGAAAGCGUGGGGAGCAAGCAGG
Molecule: ribosomal RNA, 253 nt
Filed under: uncultured bacterium
Lineage: Bacteria
Description: partial 16S ribosomal RNA
Rfam family: Bacterial small subunit ribosomal RNA
Source: RNAcentral